RNAcentral lists this transfer RNA (77 nucleotides) under Alphaproteobacteria bacterium ADurb.Bin438. RNAcentral describes it as "tRNA-Arg". It matches the Rfam family "tRNA". From Rfam's summary of the family: Transfer RNA (tRNA) molecules are approximately 80 nucleotides in length. The record is from RNAcentral. Lineage: Bacteria; Pseudomonadati; Pseudomonadota; Alphaproteobacteria.
GAUCUCGUAGCUCAGCUGGAUAGAGCAUCUGCCUUCUAAGCAGAGGGCCACAGGUUCAAAUCCUGUCGAGAUCACCA